Molecule: long non-coding RNA, 1850 nt
Filed under: Salmo salar (Atlantic salmon)
Lineage: Eukaryota; Metazoa; Chordata; Actinopteri; Salmoniformes; Salmonidae
Description: lncRNA (ENSSSAG00000106265.1)
Source: RNAcentral
CACUCUCUCUGAUGAUAAACUGUAUGUAUGGGUUGCCUUUGAUCACUUUUGUAUGUAUCUAUAUUGGCACGCAGCAUACUGAACAUGCAGUAGGUAUUAGAUAUUGGCAAUGUAGCUACGCUUACUGUAACUGUACUGCUUUGAAGUCCAGGUUUGAUUCCCAGGGACAUGUGAUUACUCAGGGUCCCUUUGGUGUGGUUUGAUGCUUGAAUUUAGAUGUAGGUAGAUAGCAAAGUAGAUAUAUUGAGAGAGAGCGAGCGAGAAAGAGAGAGCGAGAGAGAGAGAGAAAUAAUCUGGCGUAGCAAAGAUACAGUAGAGAAGACACUCUCAGAGUAGUGAGUUUUGAGGCUUUUGAAUAGAAAACAGACCAACACACCCACACUAUAUUCCCCCUGGAGGCCUCUCUCUGCUUGUGACAUAUCCAGUGGCUUCACACACAGUGUUUCACACAAUAUUAUUGACAGCAGUGUGAUUCAUAUUGCUCCUCAAUUGGAAGUGCAGUAGGACCCAGUGGACCAACAGAUUGGCAUAAUACCACUGACUGACAGGAGAGAUUGUCAUCAACGACUGGUGAACCUUUCACUGUGGCUGGCGGCCCCACGGACCCAAUCUAACACUAUGCUGUCUCACAGGUGAAUAGAGGUGUCAAUAUAGAAUCUACAGUAUGACUCGAUCUGUACUGUUUUUCCACAGCAGGGGACACUGGUAGAGUGAAGGAAGAUAAUAUAAGAAUGUAAAGCUGAAUAACGUUACAGACAUAAAUAUGCAAAACAUUCAAUGUUCUUCUAUUGUUUUUGUUAUGAAUAUUAUUCUCUUUUUUGAAAUCAGUAUUUUUUUGUAAACGGUUUCUUGUUUUAGCACUUAUUAGAUGUAAUAUGCACACUCAAAGACUGUGCUAUACAAGUGCCUGUGUACAGAGUCAGGUGUCUUUGAGUUAUGUUCAGAACACUUUCUGUUCUUCUUCUUCUGUUUUUAUUCUCACUUGUUGUAUGACCUGUGUUUUGUUUCAUCAUUUGAGUGUUAAUGAAGGUUUCAGGAAGUAUAGGCCAUAGGUUAAAACAUACUACUAAUGUUGUUGAAAUCCAUAUAGCAUCAUCUACGUACCUGCCACAUGCUGUGGUCCUAUUUUACCGACCACAAUAUACUCUAUCUACAGUGCGAAAGUGGCAAUAUGUGAUGAGCAUGACCAGUAUGUUUUACAUGUUCAGUUUGUCCAGAGGUUGUGGACAGACAUGCCAUGUAUGAGGAGGAAUCACUAUGAUUCUCUAUGGUAAUAUCCAAGAUAUAAUGAAUCCCCACAGAAACUUCAGACCCCGUCCCCCCAAAAGCUGAAUGUUACAUGUACUUACCUACUAGUAAAAUGCAUUGUGUAAAUGUGAAUUUCUUAGAGUUGUUACAAUAUAUAAAUACACUAUAAAAUUGAAAAAGCAAAGAAAUUAGUUAUCUGAUAGAAUAAAAACAAAUGUAAUUGCACCUUUGUCAAGUCAUUUGUCCUCGAUACUGAAUGUUGAUAAUGUAGCAAGUCAGUUGAUGGAUUGUCAUUCUCUACAUUGUUGCUUGGGAAGAAAUAUAGUGGACACAAUACACUGAAAUAUGCUUCUUCGCUUUAAAACAUUAAAAUUGCCAAUGUUUAAUACUGGUAGUCGGCUAUCUCUCCCGGGAAAUCCUUGAUUAUAAAAAUAUUGGACAGCACCCAGUACAAACUCUCCCGACCCUCAUCUAUAACUGUUUUUUUAACAACAGUUACAGGAAUAAUCUCCGUGGGUUUGUGUCUCAUUGACAGUUUUGGCUUUCUGUAUGAAAAUACCCAAAAGGUUCCCCUUUAGAAUUACCCCGAAAGUAUUUCUGAA